This 468-nucleotide ribosomal RNA is filed under the name uncultured bacterium. RNAcentral's name for it is "partial 16S ribosomal RNA". It matches the Rfam family "Bacterial small subunit ribosomal RNA", at positions 28 to 507 of the family's 1533-position model. The record is from RNAcentral.
GAUGAACGCUGGCGGCGUGCUUAACACAUGCAAGUCGAACGGACAGGCCCUGCUUUUGUGGGGUGCUUGUUUGGCGAAGGGGUGUGUAUCACGCGUGUAACCUGCACUUGUCUUUGGGAUAACUUCAGGAAAAUGCGGAUCUUAUCGGGUAUGAGCUUCUGCUCCACGUUGUGCGUAGGAGAGUUUCGGCGGUUGGGGAUGGUCUCGCGGCUUCUCAGCUUGUUUGUGGGGUUGUUACUUAACAAGGGUUUGACGGGUAGCCUGCCUGAGAGGGUGACCGGCCACAUGGGGACUAAGGGACGGCCCAGACUCCGACGGGAGGCAACAGUGGGGAAUAUUGCACAAUGGGCGGAAGCCUGAUGCAGCAACGCCGCGUGCGGGAUAACGGCUUUCGGGUUGUAAACCGCUUUCGACUGUGACGAAGCGUGAGUGACGGUAAUGAGUAAAGAAGCACCGGCUAACUACGUG